RNAcentral lists this ribosomal RNA (479 nucleotides) under uncultured bacterium. Its description in RNAcentral is "bacterial SSU rRNA". It matches the Rfam family "Bacterial small subunit ribosomal RNA", at positions 28 to 507 of the family's 1533-position model. The record is from RNAcentral.
GAUGAACGCUAGCGGCAGGCCUAACACAUGCAAGUCGAGGGGUAUAGUUCUUCGGAACUAGAGACCGGCGCACGGGUGCGUAACGCGUAUGCAAUCUACCUUUUACAGGGGAAUAGCCCAGAGAAAUUUGGAUUAAUGCCCCAUAGUGUUAUAGAAUCGCAUGGUUUUAUAACUAAAGUUCCAACGGUUAAAGAUGAGCAUGCGUGACAUUAGCUAGUUGGUGAGGUAAUGGCUCACCAAGGCUACGAUGUCUAGGGGAUCUGAGAGGAUUAACCCCCCACACUGGUACUGAGACACGGACCAGACUCCUACGGGAGGCAGCAGUAAGGAAUAUUGGACAAUGGUGGCAACACUGAUCCAGCCAUGCCGCGUGAAGGAUGACGGCCCUAUGGGUUGUAAACUUCUUUUGUACGGGAAAAAACCUCUUUACGUGUAAAGAGCUGAUUGUACUGUAAGAAUAAGGAUCGGCUAACUCCGUG